GAUCAAGUUAGUUUAAAACAAAAAUUUCAGGAUGUGGGUCUGAAGAAGCAGAUGGUCCCUGCACUUGAU
Molecule: transfer RNA, 69 nt
Filed under: Tectus virgatus
Lineage: Eukaryota; Metazoa; Mollusca; Gastropoda; Trochida; Tegulidae
Description: tRNA-His
Source: RNAcentral